Molecule: long non-coding RNA, 1170 nt
Organism: Brienomyrus brachyistius
Lineage: Eukaryota; Metazoa; Chordata; Actinopteri; Osteoglossiformes; Mormyridae
Exons: 3
Source: RefSeq, a predicted model, not a curated record
ACAACUGGUUCAUGGUGAAUUAUUUUCCAAAUGUAUCAAAAUCUCCCUCCCUCCCCCCCCCUUAAGAACGUGACACAUGCUGGCUGCCAGUGUAGAGCCCAGCCCACCGGCUGCUGCCAAUACACAGUCUAUGGCUGCUUCGCACAGGUUAUGGAAUGUUGCUAAUAUUCGGAUCAAAGAUUCUAGGGUGUUAUUCUACUCUAGGAAGUUCUGCAUACAAUACAUUGUUUUAAUGCUAUUUUAAUCCACGUUAUUGUACCAAAUACAUUGCCGAUUUUAUCAGCAAAAUAAGCUAGAUCAUAUUGCUUAGUUGAUUUUGUUUACCCAUGCCAACGGUUGCUAAGGGAAGAAAAGCCAUGCUUUUAAACAAGGGUAUCGUUAAUUUCAGCCCAAUUGGUCAGUAAUAGCAAAUGCACAUGGAUUUGACAGAAAAUUAAGCAAUUUAAAUGAAGAAAAGAAAAGAAUUACAUGGGCAUGCGGUAGACGUUUCUAGUGGGCAUUCCCAAGUUGAAACCAUGGAUAUGUUUUUCUUGUCGUGGCGCAACGUGUUUUUUUUUUGUUUCAAUCUGUAUUAUAGUAUGCUUGCCCUCCUAAAUCUAUAUGGCAUAAAGUAAAAGAACGAAAAGUAAUGUAAUAAAAGUAGAUCUACAAUCGCAAAUUUAAACUGAUAAAGACUUCCAUGAGCCGGCAAGAAGACAAAAGGAUCACACAGCUAACGACAACAUUAACAGUAGCUACGAAGUUUUAAGCUACGAGGAUGUAAUUGUCUUCUUUGGGAAAGCUGCAAAGCAACAAUUGCAGAUUAUAACAGGUACAUGGCAUUUUGGUUCAUUUUUAUAGACAUUUCUAUUUCGAACUAGCACAUUCUGGAUAAUUCAAACAAAUAAUGUUUGUUAUGGUAAGAUCUGGUUGUGCUACGUUGCUACCUGUCUCUAUAAACAGAGAUGGGUAACCUGGUGCUAACAUUAACGUGAGGUAAUGGCAUUAGGCUGUACUGAUUAUAAUUUGAGAUCCAACUUACUGUAUCAACUUUCACCUUUUCACUUUUUCCGAGGUAAAAAGCGGCAAAAGAGAGUUUUGUCAACAUCAUUCUGCUUUUACAACACGGUCACACCGAAACCUCUGAGAAAUCCCAGCCAGGAUCUGAAGAGAGCUCUUCUCAACAUUUUG